UGCAAAUCAUAGUAACGAGUGCCUCGUCAAUGCUUAUGUUUUUCAUAGAACUUAAUGAUUCUUGCUUGUAUAUCUAUUAUGCAAUUCAUGUAGGGAACGUGUAGGGAAUGUUUUGGGUUGUUGUAUGCAAUCAUCCAACCCAAUAACUUAAGGAAAACUUGAAGAUUAAAAAAGUGUUGUUCACGGUUAAUCUGAAGUAUUGAGAUUUACAAUUUAUUGAAAGAACAACUGAAAAUCAAUUUAGGUUGUAUAUGUGUCAUGUGUGGAGAAGAACUCUCUAGCUAGUCCGUCACCUAUCCUUUCACCUUAAUUUCAUGUUUUUGUCAAUUCUGUAAUUUAUUUAAGUUUAAUUUACUUUUCAUCAAAACCAAACCCCCCAUUAUUAAAUUAUAUUAUUUAGUUAGUUUUCAUUGUUGUUAGUCUUUUAAUUCAAUUUCCGUCCAUUUCAGUUCCUAGUGUCCAAUUUGAUUGUUUUCAUUAUUUUGAGUCAUCCUAAGUGUGUUUCGAGUUAUUAGAGUUUUUAGCCUAGUUUUGUG
RNAcentral lists this long non-coding RNA (536 nucleotides) under Malus domestica (apple). RNAcentral's name for it is "long non-coding RNA (MDOM_LNC005901)". The record is from RNAcentral. Lineage: Eukaryota; Viridiplantae; Streptophyta; Magnoliopsida; Rosales; Rosaceae.